AACAUCGCGCACCUGCGGGAACCUGCGGAGGGAUCAUUACCGAGUGUGGUCCCUUAUAAGGGGCGCCUCCCGUCCUUUGCAGGGCCUUUAGGGGCUUUUUGACUUUGCUUCGGCGGGCUUGCCCCGCCGGAACACCCUCAAGAAAAUCUUUAUGAACCGUUUGUCUGAGUUGCUUGCGAAUAAAAACAAAACUUUCAACAACGGAUCU
RNAcentral lists this unclassified non-coding RNA (208 nucleotides) under soil metagenome. RNAcentral's name for it is "partial contains 5.8S ribosomal RNA, internal transcribed spacer 2, and large subunit ribosomal RNA". The record is from RNAcentral.